Spinacia oleracea (spinach) is the source of this 682-nucleotide long non-coding RNA. RefSeq lists it as uncharacterized. Lineage: Eukaryota; Viridiplantae; Streptophyta; Magnoliopsida; Caryophyllales; Amaranthaceae. The transcript is spliced from 2 exons. The record is from RefSeq and is a predicted model, not a curated record.
UUCCAUUUCCCUCAAAUGAAAACCUAACUCCAUAGUCCAAAUCCUCACACUAUACUACUCCCGCAGCCAAACUACUAAACCGCCUCCAAAUAUGAUAUUUUCUCUAAUAUCUCAUUCUUCUAUGGCUCUCUAAUUGAUCUAUACACUGUUAUUUCUACACCCAAAUAAGGAGUAUUUAACUAAAAGAUCCCAUAGAUUAAAAAUGGAGGAAACAAGGUCAGGUAACACUAGAAAGAGGAAUACAGCGUGGGUAGAAAUCGAAAGCUCAAUGCAAUUGCAAUUGCAAUUUCAAUUGAAGAAGAAGAUGAUUAUGCAGAAGAAGAAUCUAGAAAAAAGAAUAUUUGUACGAGUAGUAGAAUCAUAGAAUUAGGAAAUGGAAGCCAAGUGGUAUAUUAUCCAAGCAUCUUAGAUUAUAACGAAGCAUGGUAAUUAUUUGAUUACCUCAACAAUCAAAUUACAUGUACUCGCCCAACAAUCCGAAUUUUUGGUCACUCGUGCGUCCAGAUCAAUGCAUUUUUCUUUUCUUUUUUGGAGGUGAAGAAUUGCAGUUCUAGGCUUGUAAACGGUGAACUAGCGAGAUGAUUUGGUCUUUUCCGACCUUUUUUUUGUUUUAUGUAAUUUAUUUACAAUGUUAUGUGUAUUCCAUAUAUUCUAAUUUUAGUAAUGGAAAGAUCUUGUUAUU